This 484-nucleotide ribosomal RNA is filed under the name uncultured bacterium. RNAcentral describes it as "partial 16S ribosomal RNA". It matches the Rfam family "Bacterial small subunit ribosomal RNA", at positions 30 to 507 of the family's 1533-position model. The record is from RNAcentral.
AUUGAACGCUGGCGGCAGGCCUAACACAUGCAAGUCGAGCGGAUGAAGGGAGCUUGCGCCUGGAGUCAGCGGCGGACGGGUGAGUAAUGCCUAGGAAUCUGCCUGGUAGGGGGGGAUAACGUCCGGAAACGGGCGCUAAUACCGCAUACGUCCUGAUGGAGAAAGUGGGGGAUCUUCGGACCGCACACUAUCAGAUGAGCCUAGGUCGGAUUAGCUAGUUGGUGGGGUAAAGGCCUACCAAGGCGACGAUCCGUAACUGGUCUGAGAGGAUGAUCAGUCACACUGGAACUGAGACACGGUCCAGACUCCUACGGGAGGCAGCAGUGGGGAAUAUUGGACAAUGGGCGAAAGCCUGAUCCAGCCAUGCCGCGUGUGUGAAGAAGGUCUUCGGAUUGUAAAGCACUUUAAGUUGGGAGGAAGGGCAGUAAGUUAAUACCUUGCUGUUUUGACGUUACCAACAGAAUAAGCACCGGCUAACUUCGUG